This 1032-nucleotide long non-coding RNA is filed under the name Sus scrofa (pig). RNAcentral's name for it is "lncRNA (ENSSSCG00050062370.1)". The record is from RNAcentral. Lineage: Eukaryota; Metazoa; Chordata; Mammalia; Artiodactyla; Suidae.
GUCCACAGGAGGAAUUACUUCCGGAGGAGGAGUGAUGAGCUCCCUGUCGCAGAGAAAUCACACCGUGGUUUGUAACAAAUUCGGUUUCUAUUCCCGCCCCCGAAAUGCAAAGCAGAACACAAUAGGGAGUGUACCUGUUCUCCUAGCGGAUAGCAGCCCGAACGCCGGGAGCCCCGGUGCAGGGCCAGGCUCUGUCUGCAGCCCUGCAGUGGCGAGCCCUGCCAUGCCCAGCUCGUGACCUCAGGACCACGCCGAGACCACGCCGUGCAGCCUGCGCGCCUCACGUUUGCGAAGCAUUCCUGGAUUCCUCAUGCGCUCCCCGUGACUCAGCAUCCGCCUCAUUUGAACUAAAGCUGUUUUAAACCCAGGACACCUGGAAAGCUGCCUCAGCUAAGACGUCCUGCUUGGAUCCCCCCGCAGACCCGGGGCCGCUGGCAGGGAGUCCACCCUGCAACGUGAAUCACCAUUUAAAAUCAGGAUUUCACCUAAAACCGUGGCAGACACGCAUGGUUCCCCAUCCAGGAUCUAUUUCCCCUUAUUUUUUGGUUAUGAAUCCUGAUUUUAGACAGGGCAGAGAUGUACCAGCUAAAAGACUACAUUUCCCAGCCUCCCUUGUGGCAAAGGAAGACCGUGGGAUUCCCCAUAAGGUGGAAGUGGAGUGUUUUUUGUCACUUCCCUCCUCUCGGCUUCCUCCUUGGGAACUAGGAUGAGUGGCUGGCGCUCCAGCAGCCACCCUGAUCUACGAGUUCACCUUGACGAUGGAAAGCACGUGCUGGGAUGAUGCAGGAGGAAGGGAAGAAGCCCGAGUCUCCUUGGUGACUCCACGAAGCCAGGAAACUACAGCUGAACUACCUGCCUCCUGACUUUGUUUCUAUGUGGCUAAAAAAAAAACAGUCAGCUGCUUCCUUACGUGAACCACCGUACUGGUGGGUGUUUUCUCUUUCACGUAGCGGAUCUAGUCCUGAGACACUGCUUCUCCUGAAAAAUCACAGUAUCUAGUAAGCUGGAUAUUUACUUUAUAACAAGUCUGUA